UACAGAGGGUGCGAGCGUUGUCCGGAAUUACUGGGCGUAAAGGGCGCGUAGGCGGCGCGGUAAGUCGGGUGUGAAAUCUCGGGGCUUAACUCCGAAACUGCAUUCGAUACUACCGUGCUUGAGGACUGGAGAGGAGACUGGAAUUUACGGUGUAGCGGUGAAAUGCGUAGAUAUCGUAAGGAAGACCAGUGGCGAAGGCGGGUCUCUGGACAGUUCCUGACGCUGAGGCACGAAGGCCAGGGGAGCAAACGGG
Molecule: ribosomal RNA, 253 nt
Filed under: uncultured bacterium
Lineage: Bacteria
Description: partial 16S ribosomal RNA
Rfam family: Bacterial small subunit ribosomal RNA
Source: RNAcentral